RNAcentral lists this ribosomal RNA (253 nucleotides) under uncultured bacterium. RNAcentral describes it as "partial 16S ribosomal RNA". It matches the Rfam family "Bacterial small subunit ribosomal RNA", at positions 524 to 776 of the family's 1533-position model. The record is from RNAcentral.
UACGUAGGUGGCAAGCGUUGUCCGGAUUUACUGGGCGUAAAGAGCGCGCAGGCGGUCGCUCAAGUCGCGUGUGAAAGCCCCCGGCCCAACUGGGGAGGGUCACGCGAUACUGAUCGACUGGAAGGCAGGAGAGGGUAGUGGAAUUCCCGGUGUAGUGGUGAAAUGCGUAGAUAUCGGGAGGAACACCAGUGGCGAAGGCGACUACCUGGCCUGUUCUUGACGCUGAGGCGCGAAAGCUAGGGGAGCAAACGGG